Molecule: ribosomal RNA, 254 nt
Filed under: uncultured bacterium
Lineage: Bacteria
Description: partial 16S ribosomal RNA
Rfam family: Bacterial small subunit ribosomal RNA
Source: RNAcentral
GACGAACCAUGCGAACGUUGUUCGGAUUCACUGGGCUUAAAGGGCGCGUAGGCGGGCGGUCAAGUCAGGGGUGAAAUCUUUCGGCUCAACCGGAAAAGUGCCUUUGAUACUGGCCGUCUCGAGGGAGGUAGGGGCAUGCGGAACUUCCGGUGGAGCGGUGAAAUGCGUAGAUAUCGGGAAGGAACGCCGGUGGCGAAAGCGGCGUGCUGGACCUCUUCUGACGCUGAGGCGCGAAAGCCAGGGGAGCAAACGGG